RNAcentral lists this unclassified non-coding RNA (593 nucleotides) under Hevea brasiliensis (rubber tree). The record is from RNAcentral. Lineage: Eukaryota; Viridiplantae; Streptophyta; Magnoliopsida; Malpighiales; Euphorbiaceae.
GUACAUCAUGCAAAAAAUGAAGAGUUUUAGGUCAAAUAUUUACAACAUAGAGGUCCUUCUCCUUCUCAAAAGCCUUCCUAUCUUUUUUCUUUCCUUCAAACUAACCAGAUAAUAAUAUAUGAGGGUUCAACUUUCUCUGUUUUUGUUCAUGCAAUUAUUGAUCUUCAUGCCUACAAACCAGACGUGCUACUGUCUAGUAGACAUGGAUGUGGUCCGGUUCUGGUCCUCAGGGCUGAGUACCUAGGACUGAACCGAACGAUUCCCUCAGUUCCAGUCCAGUUUGAUCAAAUCCAAUGGUUAAUUUAAAAAACAAAAAAUUGAAAGAGAAAAAGUUUAUCAAAAUCGAUCCAGUUCAGAACUUUUCUGGAGUUUUAGUUAAAAUCUCUCCCAGGCAUCCUUUGUGAAGUUCAAGGAAGAUUUAUUCUGUACUUGUCAUGGCUUUCCUGAUACUAGCUCUGCACAUUGAGCUACAGAACCUCCACCCAGCAUUUUGCUUUUAAAUCUAAAUUUUGAAUUUCUCUAUUUGACAUAAAUCUUUUAUCAUGUUGUUUUUAUUGUCCUGUUUGAUAAGGGGAAGAGGUACCUUUGGUCUU